CAGUCGCCGCGGUAAUACGAAGGGGGCUAGCGUUGUUCGGAUUUACUGGGCGUAAAGCGCACGUAGGCGGACUUUUAAGUCAGGGGUGAAAUCCCGGGGCUCAACCUCGGAACUGCCUUUGAUACUGGAAGUCUUGAGUAUGGUAGAGGUGAGUGGAAUUCCGAGUGUAGAGGUGAAAUUCGUAGAUAUUCGGAGGAACACCAGUGGCGGAGGCGGCUCACUGGACCAUUACUGACGCUGAGGUGCGAAAGCGUGGGGAGCAAACAGGAUUAGAUACCCCCGUAGUCCCUGUCUCUUAUAC
Molecule: ribosomal RNA, 301 nt
Filed under: uncultured bacterium
Lineage: Bacteria
Description: partial 16S ribosomal RNA
Rfam family: Bacterial small subunit ribosomal RNA
Source: RNAcentral